Molecule: RNA transcript, 903 nt
Organism: Camelina sativa (false flax)
Lineage: Eukaryota; Viridiplantae; Streptophyta; Magnoliopsida; Brassicales; Brassicaceae
Source: RefSeq, a predicted model, not a curated record
UUUCUUGUCUUCCUUGUCGUGCGAGUGGGCAAUCGCCGUCUAUCUCAGGCUUUUCUUCCAUAGGAUGAAACCGUUUUUGUUUAAGAAGAAGCUGAAAUGGAGGCGAAGAGAUCGGAGGACGAAGAAGGUGGGGGUGGUGCUCUGCGAUUACUGCGGCAGCACCAGGUAGAUCGAACAACUAAUGUUCCUCUUCUAUUUUCUAGGGUUAGCUAUUUACUACUGGGCAAUUAGGGAAUCUGAAUCUGGAAAUUGGCUAUAUAGAUUUGAAGACAAAGAAGGACAUGAUGAUUCACUGUCUAUGGAGAGCCAACUCAAGAGAUUACGGCUUUUGAACAGGAGAUGGACUGGUAUGGAUUUACAAGGUUUGAGUUCCCUGAGCUCAAAAAACUGAUAACCCAUCUACAGGAAGCCGUGCUCAUUGUGGAUGAGGAGAUAUCACAGCGCCCCGAACAGGCUGAAGUGAUGGCGGGAAAAAAUGCUCCUCUAUCUACGUUUACAAGCUCACAAGAUGAUCAAGUACCACCAGUGUUUGAUGAAGUACAAUCACUAUUGCGAAUGCAGAUAGAACACGAUAGCCAAAGAGCUGAAUCCCCUUCUGUGGAGCUGGAGAGACUAUUGCUGUGGAAGGAGAGAAUGAGUUGUAGAGGGCUGAGCGAUAUGACUUUCUCUGAGCUCUGCCUACUUGCAAGUCUAAUGAGGAAUGGAUUAAUGCGAAUCCGUGAUGAUUAUCUAAUUUGGGUUUGACUUUGUUGUCGUGUCGUCCUUUCGGACUCAAGUCUGUCUACUUACAAGUCAUAUGAUGAGAGGAUAGGAUUGAUGCGAAUGCGUUCUGACCUUGUGUCCUUCCAGAAAUCUUAUUAUAUAUUAGACUCUUUCUUUAAUCCUGAAGAUGACAUGUUCACA